Molecule: ribosomal RNA, 822 nt
Filed under: uncultured Niastella sp.
Lineage: Bacteria; Pseudomonadati; Bacteroidota; Chitinophagia; Chitinophagales; Chitinophagaceae
Description: bacterial SSU rRNA
Rfam family: Bacterial small subunit ribosomal RNA
Source: RNAcentral
AGAGUUUGAUCCUGGCUCAGGAUGAACGCUAGCGGCAGGCUUAAUACAUGCAAGUCGAGGGGCAGCAUGAGUGUAGCAAUACAUUUGAUGGCGACCGGCAAACGGGUGCGGAACACGUACAGAACCUUCCUUCGAGCGGGGAAUAGCCCAGAGAAAUUUGGAUUAAUACCCCAUAGCAUUAUGAAGUGGCAUCACUUUAUAAUUAAAGAUUUAUCACUUGAAGAUGGCUGUGCGGCUGAUUAGGUAGUUGGCGGGGUAACGGCCCACCAAGCCUGCGAUCAGUAACUGGUGUGAGAGCACGACCAGUCACACGGGCACUGAGACACGGGCCCGACUCCUACGGGAGGCAGCAGUAAGGAAUAUUGGUCAAUGGACGCAAGUCUGAACCAGCCAUGCCGCGUGGAGGAUGAAGGUCCUCUGGAUUGUAAACUUCUUUUAUCUGGGACGAAAAAAGAUCUUUCUAGAUCAACUGACGGUACCAGAUGAAUAAGCACCGGCUAACUCCGUGCCAGCAGCCGCGGUAAUACGGAGGGUGCGAGCGUUAUCCGGAUUCACUGGGUUUAAAGGGUGCGUAGGUGGAUUAGUAAGUCAGUGGUGAAAUCUCCGGGCUUAACCCGGAAACUGCCAUUGAUACUAUUAGUCUUGAAUACCGUGGAGGUCAGCGGAAUAUGUCAUGUAGCGGUGAAAUGCUUAGAUAUGACAUAGAACACCAAUUGCGAAGGCAGCUGGCUACACGAAUAUUGACACUCAGGCACGAAAGCGUGGGGAUCAAACAGGAUUAGAUACCCUGGUAGUCCACGCCCUAAACGAUGGAUACUCGAC